GACAGCUUGGCCGAGUGGUUAAGGCGAUAGACUAGAAAUCUAUUGGGGUGACCCGCGUGAGUUCAACUCUCACAGCUGUCG
Molecule: transfer RNA, 81 nt
Organism: Albugo candida
Lineage: Eukaryota; Oomycota; Peronosporomycetes; Albuginales; Albuginaceae
Rfam family: tRNA
About the family: Transfer RNA (tRNA) molecules are approximately 80 nucleotides in length.
Source: Rfam